Molecule: non-coding RNA, 217 nt
Organism: Caenorhabditis elegans
Lineage: Eukaryota; Metazoa; Nematoda; Chromadorea; Rhabditida; Rhabditidae
Source: Ensembl
AUAAAAUGGUUGACUCAUUUCCGUUUCUAAUGACACUUGAUCUCCAACACUGUGUCGCAUUUUCAUCGUACUGAUUGUUUGUCAUGAUAAUAUUUGUUGAGAAACUAUUAUCUUGCGGCAGCCAAAACCAGCACCCUUGCUUUUCCGCUCCUUUUCCUUCUGCUUCUUCUUCUUAUUCUGCUUCUUCGUAUUGAGGGGCCUCCGAUUUUAUGGCCAU